AUCGAGACAGCAUUUGGCUCGCCAAGGUGAAAAACCCUUCCUCUAGCUAUUGGUCGGGCAACAUCCUUAACUUUCUGAGGUCCUUCAAGAAGUGCUAAGUACUCCUAGAUUUGUAAUAAGUGUUAUUUAACUUGUAACAAGGGUAGUUGCCAUGGUUUCUACCAUAGUGUCGACACACCUGAGUUGGAUAUAAAGUAUUACCUGGGGAUGGAGGUGGAGGCAAAAAAACUAUCAUUGACGAGCUU
Molecule: long non-coding RNA, 245 nt
Filed under: Carica papaya (papaya)
Lineage: Eukaryota; Viridiplantae; Streptophyta; Magnoliopsida; Brassicales; Caricaceae
Description: long non-coding RNA (CPAP_LNC009601)
Source: RNAcentral